GAUGAACGCUGGCGGCGUGCUUAACACAUGCAAGUCGAACGGAAAGGCCCAAGCUUGCUUGGGUACUCGAGUGGCGAACGGGUGAGUAACACGUGGGUGAUCUGCCCUGCACUUCGGGAUAAGCCUGGGAAACUGGGUCUAAUACCGGAUAGGACCACAUUUUGGAUGGUGUGGUGGAAAGUUUUUCGGUGUGGGAUGAGCUCGCGGCCUAUCAGCUUGUUGGUGGGGUAAUGGCCUACCAGGGCGUCGACGGGUAGCCGGCCUGAGAGGGUGUACGGCCACAUUGGGACUGAGAUACGGCCCAGACUCCUACGGGAGGCAGCAGUGGGGAAUAUUGCACAAUGGGCGCAAGCCUGAUGCAGCGACGCCGCGUGGGGGAUGACGGCCUUCGGGUUGUAAACUCCUUUCGCUAGGGACGAAGCGUUAUGUGACGGUACCUGGAGAAGAAGCACCGGCUAACUACGUG
Molecule: ribosomal RNA, 466 nt
Filed under: uncultured bacterium
Lineage: Bacteria
Description: partial 16S ribosomal RNA
Rfam family: Bacterial small subunit ribosomal RNA
Source: RNAcentral